RNAcentral lists this ribosomal RNA (460 nucleotides) under uncultured bacterium. Its description in RNAcentral is "partial 16S ribosomal RNA". It matches the Rfam family "Bacterial small subunit ribosomal RNA", at positions 338 to 795 of the family's 1533-position model. The record is from RNAcentral.
CCUACGGGAGGCUGCAGUGAGGAAUAUUGGUCAAUGGACGAGAGUCUGAACCAGCCAAGUAGCGUGAAGGAUGACUGCCCUAUGGGUUGUAAACUUCUUUUAUAUGGGAAUAAAAUGUUCCAUGUGUGGGUUUUUGUAUGUACCAUAUUAAUAAGGAUCGGCUAACUCCGUGCCAGCAGCCGCGGUAAUACGGAGGAUCCGAGCGUUAUCCGGAUUUAUUGGGUUCAAAGGGAGCGUAGGUGGAUUGUUAAGUCAGUUGUGAAAGUUUGCGGCUCAACCGUAAGAUUGCAGUUGAAACUGGCAGUCUUGAGUACAGUAGAGGUAGGCGGAAUUCGUGGUGUAGCGGUGAAAUGCUUAGAUAUCACGAAGAACUCCGAUUGCGAAGGCAGCUCACUGGACUGCAACUGACACUGAGGCUCGAAAGUGUGGGUAUCAAACAGGAUUAGAUACCCGAGUAGUC